Molecule: non-coding RNA, 227 nt
Filed under: Enterococcus sp.
Lineage: Bacteria; Bacillati; Bacillota; Bacilli; Lactobacillales; Enterococcaceae
Description: T-box sequence
Rfam family: T-box leader
About the family: Uncharged tRNA acts as the effector for transcription antitermination of genes in the T-box leader family. T-boxes are found upstream of many aminoacyl-tRNA synthetase genes and some amino acid biosynthetic genes usually in Gram-positive bacteria.
Source: RNAcentral
AAGAAGACGAGGAUCAAGAGGAGUAUCAGACGGACUGUUUUUACAGAGAGAAGACCAAUUGGUGCAAGGUUUUCAGCAGGAAUCUGAGAAGGUAGCUUGUGAGUCUUUGAUUGGAACAGCAAGGAACACCUUGUUCAGUAGAAUCAAACGCUUCGUGACCGUUAACUCACGCCCAAGAGGUAGAGAAAUCUACAAUUUAGGUGGUACCGCGUAUUUGCGUCCUAAAA